RNAcentral lists this ribosomal RNA (430 nucleotides) under uncultured archaeon. Its description in RNAcentral is "bacterial SSU rRNA". It matches the Rfam family "Archaeal small subunit ribosomal RNA", at positions 474 to 903 of the family's 1478-position model. The record is from RNAcentral.
UACCAGCUCUCCGAGUGGUGUGGAUGUUUAUUGGGCCUAAAGCAUCCGUAGCUGGCUGGACAAGUCCCCUGUUAAAUCCACCGAUUUAAUCGUUGGAGUGCGGGGGAUACUGUUCGGCUAGGGGACGGGAGAGGCAGACGGUAUUUUCGGGGUAGGGGUGAAAUCCUAUAAUCCCGGGAAGACCACCAGUGGCGAAGGCUGUCUGCUAGAACGCGCCCGACGGUGAGGAAUGAAAGCUGGGGGAGCGAACCGGAUUAGAUACCCGGGUAGUCCCAGCUGUAAACGAUGCAGGCUAGGUGUUUGGACGGCCACGUGCCGUUCUAGUGCCGCGGGGAAGCCGUUAAGCCUGCCGCCUGGGGAGUACGGCCGCAAGGCUGAAACUUAAAGGAAUUGGCGGGGGAGCACCACGAAGGGGUGAAGCUUGCGGUUU